RNAcentral lists this ribosomal RNA (200 nucleotides) under Clostridioides difficile. RNAcentral describes it as "partial 23S ribosomal RNA". It matches the Rfam family "Bacterial large subunit ribosomal RNA", at positions 1894 to 2093 of the family's 2925-position model. The record is from RNAcentral. Lineage: Bacteria; Bacillati; Bacillota; Clostridia; Peptostreptococcales; Peptostreptococcaceae.
AGCAAUCGAAGCAGUGAACUUAAGCCCCAGUAAACGGCGGCCGUAACUAUAACGGUCCUAAGGUAGCGAAAUGCCUUGUCGGGUAAGUUCCGACCCGCACGAAAGGCGUAACGAUUUGGGCACUGUCCCAACAACAGACUCGGUGAAAUUGUAAUUCCGGUGAAGAUGCCGGAUACCUGCGACAGGACGGAAAGACCCCA